CCUAUACAUGCCUCAUCAAUAUGCUCAAACCACAACUUUCACUUUACUUUUAUUUACCUGUCUUGUGGUCUUCUUGAGUAGGAAUUAGUCAAAGGUCCCAUCUCAAAUUUCCUGCUUCAUGUAGUUUCAAAAAGCUCUAUUCCCGGAGUUCCAUCUUGGCUUCUUCCUACUGAGAAGGAUCAAGACAAUAACAAUUUCCACUGAGAACUAAUUAUGAAGAUAGCAGUGAAAUUACUAUAUCAACAGCCCCAUUAAUGUAAUCACUUGAGAAACCGGAUGGAAAUUAGUGAAAGCUGUAACGUAGUAAGGGAUUGGCCCACCGGAAGCACAGGAGUGAUCACUGAACCCAUCUGGCUCCAAAAUCUGACACUGAGUCCUGAGGAGGAGGAUGGAAAGAAGGCAGACACUGGACUUUUAGCAAGUCUUUAGCUGCUGAAAAGAGGAACACAUUUUGUCUGAGUAGAGUGUGCCAGGAGAAAGCAAAUGAGAUACACUUGCCACCAAGAUGUCUGGGUUCAGAUGGAUUUGAGGAAAAGCCACCACUGCCUCUCCCCACUCCUCAGGUCUGGACCUGUAUCAGGUGUCAUCUGCGAAAGGAAGAUGUAUUCUAUUCUUGGAGUGAAGCCUUGGGAGUGCUCCUUGAUACCCUGCAGACCUGGCCCUAACUUCCCUCCAGUCUUACAUCACCUCUCCUGUGCUCAGCUCCAAGAGGACUCUGCUGGCUGCCAGGGCAUCCCUGUCCUCAAGAAGCUCCCAUUCAUUAGAGGCCAGAAUCCAGAUAAGAAUCCAGCUUAUUACAGUACAAAGUGUUAGGUGAGGGGGACCAGUUGAGGAAAUAAUUUAAUCCGUAGUAAAAUACUGUUGAUUGGGUGGUUUAAACAAAGGGAAUUUGUUUUCUCUCUGUUCUGGAAGUUGGGAAAUUCAAGAUCGACGUGUUGGCAAGGUAAAUUUCAUUCUGAGGUCUCUUUUCUUGGCUUGCAGGUGGCCACCAUCUCACUAUGUGCUCAUAUAACCAAUUCUUUGUAUACAUGCUAUGGGGGGAGAGAGAGAGAGACAGAUAUAUAUAUAUAUAUAUAUAUAUAUAUAUAUAUACACAUUGAGUGAGAGCUCUGGUGUCUUUUCCCACAAGGACAUGAAUCUUAUCAGAUUAGGGCCUCAUCCUUAUGACCUUAUUUGACCUUAACGACUUCCUUAGAGCCCCCCUCUCUAAAUACAGCCACACUGGGGAUUAUGACUUUGACAUACAAAUUUUGGGGGGACAUAAACAUUCAGUCCAUAUCAGAGGGACAGUGAAGACUUCGUGGGGCAAGUGACAUUUAAGCUAGGUUUAGAAAAAUUAGCAGGCAUCAACAAAGGAGGAAUAAAGAUGUUCUAGGUGGAGAGCA
RNAcentral lists this long non-coding RNA (1385 nucleotides) under Felis catus (domestic cat). Its description in RNAcentral is "lncRNA (ENSFCAG00000044384.2)". Lineage: Eukaryota; Metazoa; Chordata; Mammalia; Carnivora; Felidae. The record is from RNAcentral.